Molecule: small nucleolar RNA, 133 nt
Filed under: Meriones unguiculatus (Mongolian gerbil)
Lineage: Eukaryota; Metazoa; Chordata; Mammalia; Rodentia; Muridae
Source: RNAcentral
GCUCUUUUGUCCACUGAGCUGUGGGUAGCACUUUUCUCUCAGCCAGGACUGGAGAUUAGCCCUUUAGUGUCAUGGAUCAUUGUCUUAAGGACUGCCAUGAGUAGAGAGCCAUGCUUUCCUGACUCAGACACUC